Molecule: long non-coding RNA, 5539 nt
Organism: Lolium perenne
Lineage: Eukaryota; Viridiplantae; Streptophyta; Magnoliopsida; Poales; Poaceae
Source: RefSeq, a predicted model, not a curated record
AAGCGGUGCUGAGUUUGUUCGGCCGCGUGUCCACUUCCUUUCAAUUUGUUACCCCACCCCACACGUAUCCCUCUCCCAAACCUUCUCCUCUCUCCCAAGUAAUUUCUCCACCAAUCUCUACCUCCACAUGCGCGAGUGAGCCUAAUCCUGCCUCCGCCCCCUUCCUGACGCUUCUCCCAUUCUCGAGCUGUGGCGGCGCAAGCGGCAAGAACGGAGACGCCCGCCUCGACUACAUCCCCAACAAUGACGCCAUCGGCUGCGGUGUGAUGGAGAAGGAGAAGGAGCUGCAAUCUCCACCGCAAUCGCUAAUUCGCUAUGCAGGCGGCGCCGUCGGUCAAGAUGCACACUUGGAGAGGCCGGCGAAUACUGGAGUUCAGCAUCUGCCGGCGGGUCCUUGAACCAAGGCGAGCGGCGGCCGCAUCAUCUGGUCCUGGGCGCGUUCCCAACUCCACGGCUAGCGGUAGUAUCUGGUCGUGCGUUGGCGGCUUGCAGAAAGUGGGGAGCGAAGGCAUCCCUAACGAACACCAAAAGAUAAGCCUCCGGCUGCAAUUUUUUAUCCUCUUUCUUUGAUCCCCCGAUUCUCUAAUUUUCAGGACCAAUGGAGGAGCACGACGAACUGACCACAAAAAAUCCUCCUUGCUGACUCAUCUUAUCUCCCUACAACAUCUCAUCUCCCUAAUUUGUCGUUUGAGCUCUCGAUCUGUUUUCCUCCUUCUCCCUCUCCUCUUAAUACCUUGCAUAAUCUGAUUAUUGUAUCUUCGUGAGUUUGAUGUAUUAGAUGGAGGAGCCCACCGUUCUGAUUCCGCUCGAGAUGCAGCAACAACAACAGUUCGGGGCGAUCCAGCCGCAGUACAUCUUCCAGGCGACCAGACCAUGCCCCAGCUCCCGGCCGUCUUCUCGGGGACCAAGGCUGCCACAGUCUCUGCACCGCCGGCCGUGUCGGCCAUGGUCUUCUACCCGCCACCACUGUCGUCGUCGGCUUUCGCGACACCAAUGCCCCGGGCGGAGUCGCCACUGGCGGCAGCGUCUCAUUCCAGCAGGCGUCCCCUGGGUUCGACAGCAUGGCUUCCGCAACAGCUGCAGCACCGGUCAGGGCCAACAACAAGGAAAGGUGAGUUAUUAGCCAACAAGUGCAAAAUGUAUAAUUUAUAGUUAGUUUACAAUUUAACCUGUGUGUUAGCCCGUGGAAAUCUGUUCUUUUGCCCACAACAGACCAUAUCUUUCAAACUUACAGAACUAUAAGCUAGCCUGGGCUCACGAUUUCAUAGCAUUACUUCUGUUGAGUAGUAUUUUCGAAAGGCGUCUGUUGAGUAGUAUUUGUUUAAAAUAAUUGUAUGUAUGAAAAAUAUAAGGAUGUGCUUCAUUAUAUGUAAAGAAUUGCAUUGCCAUGUACAAUCGCUUUUGAAGUAAUGCGGUUUGUAAAUUAUAUAAUAUGGUUAAAAGUGAAAUGUAUUACAGAGCAGCCAAGAAUUGAUUGUGUGAUUUCAGUGAUCUACUAAUAGUCUAAUAUUGUAGAAUUAUGCACAAACACAAGUUAAGCAAGGCUUAUUUAUAGUUUCUCAGUCCACUUGGAGUGAAUGACAGCGUAUACAACCGUUUAAAAAAGUAGUGCAAGUGAACAAUGUUAUCUUCAGUUAGUGAAAGCAAAAAAAUUGAAGGACAGUAAGAUGUAAACAUCAAAGUUUCCCCACUACAAGCCUAAGAAUGAUAGUUGAUACACUUCCUUCCGAAUUUGAGUUCUGAUGGUAUAGCUCUGUCAUUUGCUUGAUGAAAGAUAUUGAGAUUUACGUUUCAGAUGGCAUGUUUAAUAACCUCAAUUCGAUUUUUCAUAGUGUGCAUAGUGAUUCAGACUAGAAGCAUUUGAUUCUGCAUAGUCGUUCAACAAGAGGCAAGAACCUAUGCAAGUCUUUUGUUGACGACUCUCUUUUCGUAGCAUUAGCUUUUACUCCAUAUCCAUUAAUUAAUAUACGGUGUAACAUUAGCUAAGAUAUGUAACCUUAUGUUAUCGUGUUCUACUCACAAUGAAGUGCAUAAUCAUUUGCCUUAUGUUAAAUCUCUGAAAAGUAAAUAUAAAAAGUGCAUGCUAAAUGCUUAGUAUUUUGUACCCUGUUGCAUAAAUAUUGAUGCAUACAUGUCCAACCACGAGUUAAGAUGUCAUUUUGAGAGUUUUCCAGUUUCCUCAACUAUUUGGUUGGUUGUUUCCUCAAACUACUAACAGCCUGAAGUAUUAUGUGCCGCUAACUGGAAUUUGUAAGAGGUAUUGUAGCAGAGGCAAUUCAUUUUCUUGAUACAUAUGAUAAUAUUACUAGGACAUCUAGCUAGGGUGGUCAUGGCAGGAGGCUGCAGCUGCUCAAGACCUGGGACUCAAGCUCAGAACGGCUGGGUAUGUAGGGGAGGUGCAUUCACCGGCGAGAGAAUUGGCUCUUCUUUGAACUCUGUCUCCACAUAGCGUCCUUUUUUAGUUGGUUGCAAUUUGAAUAACUGCAUUGAUGUGUAAGUAGAUAGUUUGUUAGUGUAUCCAUCUUUAUCCUGAUCUCUCUCUCUCUCUCUGAAAAUACUUUGUUAUUGAUGUCUAAACACAAGGUUUAUCCAAUUUAUUGCCAGACUUCAUAGUCUUCCUCACCUUUAUAUUUUCCAAGUUAAUAUCCUAUGGCUUCCCUAUAUGCUCAAUUUCACUAUACAUUUUAUGUGGGUGAGAUAUAUGCAUUCACAUAUGCAGCCUUAUGAGCAUCAUGGUGCAUGUUUCAAAUUGCAUGUUCCAUGCAAAUCCUUCUUGUGCAUUAAGGCAAGGGGUUCAGUCUUGCAAAGAAAAACAUGAGAUUCUUUGUAUUUAGCAUGCAUGCGUAUUUCUUUUAUUGUUGUGUCAUACUGGCCUACUUUAGUUAGGGAAGGUAUUGAGUUUUGGUGUAUAUCUUUAUGUAUUCGUUGGUUCAUUUGGCUUUGACAGUAUUUUGCUUGAUAACUUUUCUCCAUGCAUUCGCACUAGAGUCUUGUAUUAACCAAGUAAUUCUUGUGUGUCGGUGUACCAUAUACUUUACUUAAAGAAGAUGAAAUUAUUUAGUGAUCAGCUAAGAAAGAAGUAUUGCAGUACUACUACUACAUGGUUCCACUAUUUAUUGAUCUCUGUUGCUUUUCUCUUUCAGCUUGCCAUCAAGAAGUAGCGGCUGAGUGCUGCUGAAAACUGUUAAGAUAUAGCUUUAGUAUCGUCCCAGAAUUUUGGGUUUAUUGAUAUUGUUUGUUAAGAAAUUUUGUUUUAUUGUGUUCAGCUGACCAAAUUUCCAUGGAACUAGGACUUUAAGAUGCUCUGUGGACAAGAUGUAUUGAACUAUUGCACAGUUGUCAAAUAAUGGUGCCAAAGUGAUACUCAGUGCAUAUAAUAUCCGACAAACUAGAAACACAAAAGUAUUUUCUCUAGACGACCAUAAAAGGUAACAAGUUACUAUACUCACCUUUUCUACUUCUGGCUGAUGCUUUAACUGAUGGCCAACCAUGUCACAUGCCACGACAUCAACGGUCCCAGACAGCUCCUUACCCGCAACACUUCCCCACUAUCCAAAAUAAUUACUUUACCAUUGUGCAAGUCAGACAAAUAUCAAGGAUAUAAUUAUUCUUAUGACUUCUACCUACUAAAUGGGUAUCAUGUAACAGGUUUAGUAAAUUCUGCUGUCAAGUCCUUCCACGCACACAUAUGUUAUACCACCAUUUAGUAGCAAUAAAAUGAUCAGUUCCGUUGCGUGGAAUUUUCUACCAUGCAAAACAAUAGUUUACUCACCUCCAGCGCAUCUUCCGGACACUUUAAGUUGUGAUACAAAUGCUUUUUUGUUCUUUAGCUCAUAGAACUUUCGGAAAAAUUGAUAGGUCAUUGAGGCUUGGCUACCGCGGUCAUCAGACUAUUAGCAAAACAAAUUGCAAAUUUUGCAAUGUCCAACAUUUAGUCUGUCCAUGGUUGAUCUGUCACCAAUGAUUUGAUGUUCAAUGCUUUUAUUAAUAGAGGAUCCUUAGUAAUAAUUGUAUUUAGACUUGAAAGGAUCUCACUAUGAUUACCUAUCAGUCUACUUAAUUUAUUCGAAACUUUUUAUCAUAUUGUGAAAGAACUUGAAACCCAUAAUGCAUUUAGUAUGCACCUUGUUGUGACACCAUUCUUUUUUUUUGAGAAUUUUGUGACACCCUUGUUUCAUGGUAAGCGAAAUGAUACUGGAAUAUUAGAUGAAUUCUAAUGAGCUAUAUGUGCUAUUUCGCCAUAGUGCAACUUACUCUUGCCACCGGGUACCUAUUUGUUGGUCAGGUCAUCUAGAAGAGCAAUUCACCAUGUGGAAGACCUGUCAUAUCUCAUUGAAUUAGGAAAUGUGACACUGAACACAACUUAUACCGCGCACAUGAAUGCUCACAUCUCAUGCCUCUUUAAGCCCUACACUCCAGCUCGGCUCCCAAUCCGCAGUAGUAGCACGGAAGACAUGGUUCUUUGUUAUCUGUUUUAGCUUAUAUAAUUUUUUUGAGUUCAGUCGGCAUAUAUAUGCUAUAUGGAUCACCUUUUUAAAAUGCAUGGUAGGCAGCAUCUCAUUUGAGUUUAUCAAUAAGUGCAGUUCAUGGAUCUGUAUCUAGGUAUAUCCAUUCAGUUUCUACUACAAAAGCACGUAGAUUUGGUUAAUCCAAAUUUAUUAGUGUUGAUUCCUAGAUGAUAUUUGUUCCUACUUCCUGGCUUAAAUAUCUUUUUUCAAGAGGUGCUCAAGGCCUGUCACUUUGAUAUCUCUUUAGUAGGUUACUUUAUUUUGUUCUGCAGAGUAUCUGCAAAAUUAUCCAAGAAGUAUCAGAAAAAACUAUUUGUUUGUUCUUGGGAAGUCAUGUAAAGGUUUCAGCCAAUUUUGUUUCUCAAGAAAAUUUACAAGAGUGCAGGCUGGCAGAAGAAUUUCGCCCCCUUCCAAAAUGUCAUAGGGAGGAUAAAUAUAAGCUAGAGCUGGGUGUCGGUCAUGAUGCUUCUGGUUUUGAAGUGUAGAUACAACAAAUAUGAGCUUACCAUCUUUGAUAUUAGUUCCAAGUUCUUUCCUGGUUGGGUUUGACACCCAGCACUAGCCAGAAAGUUUCGGUGGGACAAUAUUCUCAAGAAGGGUGGCUUAGGAUUAUCUGAACACGAAACGACGAUCAUAGAAGACUUGCACUACCUUUCCGAUGCUGGCACCAUAGCUUUCUUUCAAUUACUUUGGGCAGAGCUUGCUCAAGUUCUAGCCUUCUAUGUGCCAAGCAAAGAAUUCAUCACCAUUAUUCCGUCUGCCGAUGAAUAUAACAGUGCCAACCACUCACAGUUUGAAGACAGGGGAACACCAAGACCACCCGCCUUAGCAUUCUAAGAAUUUAUAUUCGUUCCAAUUACUUGAAGUAUACAGUUUAGGUGGUACUGCUUAGGCAAGUCAAUCCUAUCAGCUAUCUAAUGAGGAAGAAUGUAUGCAUGUUAGUGUCUCUAGCCAAUACUCCCUACAUGGGUCUAUCUUACCAACUAUGUACUCAACUAGGAAUAUAUAUACUAGCAACAAGUUUAAAAUUA